GGGGAGGAGCGACGGGAAGAAAAUGCUAAGAGAAAAACAUGUUGUUUCAAUCUUGAAGUUUACAAUUCCAGUUUGAAGCUAUAACUUAAUACCAUAUAUUCCCAGUGUGACACCCAUCCCAAGGUAACCAAAGGUUAUGCCCGCUGAAGUACGACCACCUUGUGCCAUUCUCCAUUGAGAGCCUGCACACUGACUGAGCAUCGGGAUACCCAUCCAGAGGAAACUACACAUUACACCAGCACCAGCUGAUCGUCACGUGCCAACCUCAUGCGAGAACCUGUGGAAUUCAUGUGCCAUCCUCCUGCGAGAUCCUAUGGAUUUAACAGAUCAUCCCAGCUCCAGCUCAGGCAAUCUCCAUCAACAACCAAGAGCAAAGAUUUCAUUUUAAUACUAUUACUAACUUUUGUUUGUUUUUGUCUUUCUUCCUGUAAAGCUACUUUGAAAUAAUGAAACAUUGUGAAAAGUUUUAUAUAAAUAAAACUGAAUUAAAUUUUAA
Long non-coding RNA from Triplophysa dalaica, 496 nucleotides. RefSeq lists it as uncharacterized. The transcript is spliced from 2 exons. The record is from RefSeq and is a predicted model, not a curated record. NCBI's taxonomy places the organism in Eukaryota, Metazoa, Chordata, Actinopteri, Cypriniformes, Nemacheilidae.